Non-coding RNA from Macaca mulatta (Rhesus monkey), 1741 nucleotides. The record is from RefSeq and is a predicted model, not a curated record. NCBI's taxonomy places the organism in Eukaryota, Metazoa, Chordata, Mammalia, Primates, Cercopithecidae.
CAAAAAAUUAGCCAGAUGUGGUGGCACAUAACUGUAAUCCCAGCUACUCAGGAGGCUGGGGCAGGAGAAUCACUUCAACUCAGGAGACAGAGGUUGCAGUGAGUCGAGAUUGCACUACCACGCUGCAGCCGGGGUGACAAAGAUAAACUCCAUGUAAAAAGAAAGAAAAAGAAAAGCUAAGCGUGGACGUAAUUUCUUUGAGGUUUAAAGCUGCAAAGAGUUACUCUUCAUGAAGUAGGUUGGAUCCCAGCUGGGCAAUGAAAUGUGAGUGGGGUUUGGUCAGCUGGUGGAAGUUGAAGGAAAAUUAUUAACGUAGGUGACAGGUUAACACAAUCAGGUGUCUAGGAAAGAGAAUGAGAGAUUCAGAGUGUAAGACACCAGUUGAAGCUAUAACACAAGGAGGACAAGAUUCAUGUCGAAGGUUUGUAGGAAAUAGUGCUGGCGUAAUAUCUUGUACUCAAACAGUUCUGUGGGUUGGUGACAGAUCUUUUUUUUUUUUCUUUUUUCUGGUAGGUCAACUAUUAUGCCUGAAUAUUCAUCUAUCUAUGUAACUGGUUGAGAAAUAGGGGAGUAACAGUAAAGAAACUGUCUUACAAUAAAUCUGGUGGCAGCAGAAGAGAAUAUGAGACACGUUGCCCUCACAGCCUUGAGAGUGUGACAGUAGUUGAGGGCCACGCUGUUGUCUUAGAGUGAAGGGAGGAGAACCUACGUUGGUUUGGUAGUCAUGGAGGUGGAAGGAGGAAUGAAAUGUGAAAGCCCAUUGGCAGCAGAAUCAAAAUGGCUUGGUCUUUGUAGUCCACUAUUAAGUGAGGAGGAGGAAUUAUUGGCUGACUUAGGAAGAAGUAAAAAAUGUGAAACACCAAUAAAAUGCAAAGCUUGUGAUUUUAGUCAGGGUAAAACUUAAGCAUUGUGUGAUUCUAGAUAGAUUAUUGAGCAGUUUUGUUCCAUGUAUUUUAUAUCCCAUAUCUUCUAGCUAUGACCCUAUUUCUUUAUUUCUUGACAUAGCCAAACAUUUUUCAAACUGACAGCUUUAUUGUGAUACAGUUUUUAUGUGAUAAGCCUAACCCUUCAAGUGUACAGUUCAGUGGUUUUUAGUAUAUUCAGAUUUAUGCAACCAUUACCACUACCUAAUAUCAGAACAUUUUCAUCUCCCUAAAAAGAAACCCCGUACCCAUCAGUAGUCAUGUACCUGUCUCCCGCAUGCUUCAUCCUGGCAACCUGUGAUCAAAUUUCUAUCCCUGUAGUUUUGCCUGUCCUGGACAUUUCAUAUAAAUAGAAUCAUACAAAACGUGGCAUUUUGUGACUGACUUUUCUUUACAGUGAUUAUAAAUCAAAUGCCUGAAGAGGCUAAGCCUAGGAUAGUGUUUGCUGUACAACUUUGACAACUGAACUUUUUUAUAGUUGAAAAUAUGACUGUGUCUGUAUAUGUGGCAUAUUAUCUUAGAUGACCCUUACUUGGAUUAUUAAGAAUUUUUUCUCCUAGUGUUCUUGAACUGUCUCAAUAUUCAGCAGGAACCCUUUGGAGACAAAGAGCAGUAAGAAUGUGGAACACAUAUUGACAAAAUGAAGGUAUGUAUUGGGUGGAGGAGCAUUAUGUAUGGAACUUCUCACAAAACAGACUUUUUAACACUGAUCUGCUGCUGUUGAGGGCUGAAGCAGUGCCUACUCAAUAGAACCGGUCAUCGUGCAAAGAAAUGCCACCUGACUCAAAGGCAAAGCCAGAGUGCAGCUUGGAGCAAAG